CGUGUUGAGGUAGCCGCCCGCCACAGUCACAGUCUCACACCCUUUGACUGGCGAUUGUCCAGUGGUGGCUAAGAUCAAUGUC
Petromyzon marinus (sea lamprey) is the source of this 82-nucleotide microRNA precursor. Ensembl annotates it as pma-mir-4599b. The record is from Ensembl. NCBI's taxonomy places the organism in Eukaryota, Metazoa, Chordata, Hyperoartia, Petromyzontiformes, Petromyzontidae.